GUAGGGCCACUUGGGAGAACUUGUGGAUGGCCAUACUUUCUUUUAGAGGCUUCUUCGUUGGAUUCUUGCUCUGUAUCAACUAUCCAAGGUUCCUACCUACCUCUCUUUUUGGUAAUAAUGAGCUUAGAUUAGUCUGUCUCUCCGAGAUAUCUAUGCGUAUCUCCUCAUAUAUUUGUGAUUACUAAAACCAUUGAUCGGCAUUGGGGCAUCUACUAAUAGGAAUCUCAUGAUUAAAGCUUCUACUCCAGAGAAUCCAUGAGUGCGUUUUGGCCGGUGGAACCUUUCGAGCCUAA
RNAcentral lists this long non-coding RNA (293 nucleotides) under Elaeis guineensis (African oil palm). RNAcentral describes it as "long non-coding RNA (EGUI_LNC027041)". The record is from RNAcentral. Lineage: Eukaryota; Viridiplantae; Streptophyta; Magnoliopsida; Arecales; Arecaceae.